RNAcentral lists this ribosomal RNA (164 nucleotides) under Ctenanthe setosa. RNAcentral describes it as "5.8S ribosomal RNA". It matches the Rfam family "5.8S ribosomal RNA". From Rfam's summary of the family: 5.8S ribosomal RNA (5.8S rRNA) is a component of the large subunit of the eukaryotic ribosome. It is transcribed by RNA polymerase I as part of the 45S precursor that also contains 18S and 28S rRNA. Functionally, it is thought that 5.8S rRNA may be involved in ribosome translocation. The record is from RNAcentral. Lineage: Eukaryota; Viridiplantae; Streptophyta; Magnoliopsida; Zingiberales; Marantaceae.
AGAAUGACUCUCGGCAACGGAUAUCUCGGCCCUCGCAUCGAUGAAGAACGUAGCGAAAUGCGAUACGUGGUGUGAAUUGCAGAAUCCCGCGAACCAUUGAGUUUUUGAACGCAAGUUGCGCCCGAGGCCUUGCCGCCGAGGGCACGCCUGCCUGGGCGUCACGC